RNAcentral lists this unclassified non-coding RNA (332 nucleotides) under soil metagenome. Its description in RNAcentral is "partial contains 5.8S ribosomal RNA, internal transcribed spacer 2, and large subunit ribosomal RNA". The stretch from base 1 to 120 matches the Rfam family "5.8S ribosomal RNA", at positions 35 to 154 of the family's 154-position model. The record is from RNAcentral.
GAUGAAGAACGGAGCGAAAUGCGAUAAGUAAUGUGAAUUGCAGAAUUCAGUGAAUCAUCGAAUCUUUGAACGCACAUUGCGCCCGCCAGUAUUCUGGCGGGCAUGCCUGUCCGAGCGUCAUUUCAACCAUCAAGCCCCGGGCUUGUGUUGGGGACCUGCGUCCGACGCAGGCCCUGAAAACCAGUGGCGGGCUCGCUGUCCACACCGAGCGUAGUAACUAACCUCGCUAUGGAGUGGCGCGGGCGCCUGCCGUAAAACCCCCAAUUUCACAAGGUUGACCUCGGAUCAGGCAGGAAUACCCGCUGAACUUAAGCAUAUCAAUAAGCGGAGGA